UCGUGAUCUUUGGUACACGCAAGGUUUAGGGAUAAAGCACGCCACAAUUGUCAAAAUACUAAACAAAAUCACCACACUUACACCGUUUAUUCUUUCGGGGUAACGAUUUAGUACUUUUUCCUGGCUUUUCUUUUGAUAAUGCGGUAUUAUAUAGUUUAUGCUAUUUGAUGAAAAACGUGCGGCGUAAGUACGGUGCAGCGUAAGAAACUUACCCCAAACGAAAAAGAGCAACGAACCCACCAUGCUGAUGAGUACAUGCUGAAAUCCCAUAUAAAGAAUAAGCUGACGGUACGUCAGAGCUUCCAGAGAGGAUUUCCGUCGUGGUUCAUUAGGAUCGCUGUGUGGCUGACCUUUCCCUGAAUUAACAGAAGAGAUUACGAGGACACAAUGCAAGAUAACUUCGUGCUAUCCGGAAGAUGAAACGAUUUCUGUUCUUCAAUUUUUCGCCGGCUUUCUCCGAACGGUUAAAACUGGAACAUCCUUGCGUUUAAAAUUGGCUAAGAAUGUUUCCUUGCCGAAUGCUUCCGCUUCAGCAAUAGUGGACAGCAUCUUCAUAUCGGUCGUUUCCGGUAGCAGGAUGGCGACCACUGCGCCCAGAAUAACGGUCACCGAUAUAACGACAAACGGCAGUCCGCUGAAUGUAGUGAUGGUUGCCUUAAAACCGUAUGCUUAGUAGUAGGUAGUUCUAUUGAGAUACCGAUGUGACUUGUAUCGUCACUUAUCGUCACAAUUCUCGUAAAAUACUAUACUUCUAGCUACUUUGGCUGUUUUGUUACUGCGCAAUUUGAACCGACUGGUAAUGGUAACAGCAAACAUGAUGUGCAUAAAUAAAGAUCACU
This is a long non-coding RNA of Paramacrobiotus metropolitanus, 839 nucleotides long. RefSeq lists it as uncharacterized. NCBI's taxonomy places the organism in Eukaryota, Metazoa, Tardigrada, Eutardigrada, Parachela, Macrobiotidae. The record is from RefSeq and is a predicted model, not a curated record. The transcript is spliced from 3 exons.